UUUGGUGGCGUUUGAAUGCUGAUAAACUGUGUGAAAUGUGAAUGGAUUUGGCAGGGAUUUUAAGUUGUUCAAAUUUUGCAAUGAGUAAUUCUUCCAAAACCUGUGAUUUCGGAUUUUAGGCUUUAUAAAAUUAAGCAGCAAGGCCUUAAUAUCAAGCCUCAAAUAGUUAUGGUGAGUUGCAUGGCAUUGGAAAGACUUUUUUCAGUUAAUUAACUUAGUAAAUCUUUUUUCUCCUCCUUUAUUUUUUGGUAUAUGUAAAUAGGCUGAUCCCAGAUGUAAAAGGAACAAAAUGCAACCAGGAAAUUGAACCAGACAUCAAUACAAAGCACUCCUACAUCCUUAGAGUGCCAUUUAGGACAGAAAAUGGAGUGCUUGAUCAAUGGAUUUCUCGAUUCGAUAUUUAUCCUUAUCUUGAGAGGUUUACUCAGGGAUCCUGUGUUUCCUUGGGUUCUGGCUGAUUAUUCUUCAGAGACUCUUGAUUUGAACAAGGCAUCUUCUUAUAGGGAUCUUUGAAAACCAGUUGGAGCAUUUGAUCCAAAACGAUUGGAGGGUUUUGAAGACAGAUAUCGUAACUUCUGUGAUCCUGAUAUUCCCAGGUUGAAAAUAUGGGGCGUUUAAAUUAUGAUCUCAACAUUUCGACCGCUCGACAAUGUUGAUUUUGCAAAUAUACAAGAAGAAAUUUAGAAUUUGAAGACUAUUAUAUUGUUGUAUAGAUUUUGAAUUGACUAUUACUUAGUAAAUAUGGAUUGAUAAUGUAUUAUUACU
Molecule: long non-coding RNA, 765 nt
Organism: Ipomoea triloba (trilobed morning glory)
Lineage: Eukaryota; Viridiplantae; Streptophyta; Magnoliopsida; Solanales; Convolvulaceae
Exons: 4
Source: RefSeq, a predicted model, not a curated record